AGGACGAACGCUGGCGGCGUGCCUAACACAUGCAAGUCGAACGAGGUCCAUCCUUCGGGAGAAGACCUAGUGGCGAACGGGUGAGUAACACGUGAAGAACCUGCCCCGAAGACCGGAUAACCCUCCGAAAGGAGAGCUAAUACCGGAUACCCCCACCGAACCGCAUGGUUUGGUGAGGAAAUGGAUUCCGCUUCGGGAGGGCUUCGCGGCCUAUCAGCUAGUUGGUGGGGUAAACGGCCCACCAAGGCAUCGACGGGUAGCUGGUCUGAGAGGACGAUCAGCCACACUGGGACUGAGACACGGCCCAGACUCCUACGGGAGGCAGCAGUGGGGAAUCUUGCGCAAUGGGCGAAAGCCUGACGCAGCAACGCCGCGUGGGGGAUGAAGGCUCUCGGGUUGUAAACCCCUUUCAGCAGGGACGAAUCAAGACGGUACCUGCAGAAGAAGCCCCGGCUAACUACGUG
This 464-nucleotide ribosomal RNA is filed under the name uncultured bacterium. Its description in RNAcentral is "bacterial SSU rRNA". It matches the Rfam family "Bacterial small subunit ribosomal RNA", at positions 26 to 507 of the family's 1533-position model. The record is from RNAcentral.